AUGAACGCUGGCGGCGUGCCUAAUACAUGCCAGUCGAGCGAACAGACGAGGAGCUUGCUCCUCUGACGUUAGCGGCGGACGGGUGAGUAACACGUGGAUAACCUACCUAUAAGACUGGGAUAACUUCGGGAAACCGGAGCUAAUACCGGAUAAUAUAUUGAACCGCAUGGUUCAAUAGUGAAAGACGGUUUUGCUGUCACUUAUAGCUGGAUCCGCGCCGCAUUAGCUAGUUGGUAAGGUAACGGCUUACCAAGGCGACGAUGCGUAGCCGACCUGAGAGGGUGAUCGGCCACACUGGAACUGAGACACGGUCCAGACUCCUACGGGAGGCAGCAGUAGGGAAUCUUCCGCAAUGGGCGAAAGCCUGACGGAGCAACGCCGCGUGAGUGAUGAAGGUCUUCGGAUCGUAAAACUCUGUUAUUAGGGAAGAACAAAUGUGUAAGUAACUAUGCACGUCUUGACGGUACCUAAUCAGAAAGCCACGGCUAACUACGUG
RNAcentral lists this ribosomal RNA (496 nucleotides) under uncultured bacterium. Its description in RNAcentral is "partial 16S ribosomal RNA". It matches the Rfam family "Bacterial small subunit ribosomal RNA", at positions 29 to 507 of the family's 1533-position model. The record is from RNAcentral.